AACGAACGCUGGCGGCAUGCCUAACACAUGCCAGUCGAACGAGACCUUCGGGUCUAGUGGCGCACGGGUGCGUAACGCGUGGGAACCUGCCCUUAGGUUCGCAAUAACUCACCGAAAGAGAUGCUCAUACCGGUUAAUGUCUUCGCACCAAAGAUUUAUCGCCUUUGGGUGGGCGCGCGUUGGAUUAGGUAGUUGGUAGGGUAAAAGCCUACCAAGGAGACGAUCCAUAGCUGGUGUGAGAGGAAGAUCAUCCACACUGGGACUGAGACCCGGCCCACACUCCUACGGGAGGGAGCAGUAGGUAAUAUUGGACACUGGGCCAUAGCGUGAUCCAGCAGUGCCGGGUGAGUGAUGAAGGCGUUAGGGUUGUAAAGCUCUUUUACCCGGGAUGAUAAUGACAGUACCGGGAGAAUAAGCACCGGCUAACUCCGUG
This 433-nucleotide ribosomal RNA is filed under the name uncultured bacterium. RNAcentral describes it as "partial 16S ribosomal RNA". It matches the Rfam family "Bacterial small subunit ribosomal RNA", at positions 29 to 507 of the family's 1533-position model. The record is from RNAcentral.